UCCAAGUUGUUCCUAUGACAGGAGGGUCGGAGCAUGAGGGUCCACUGCAUUUUCUGCUCAGCCUGUGCUGGACCCGGAGAGGGCUGAGAGACACCUGGGUGGUGAACAGCAGAGAAGAGUUCUCUUUUUCUCUUACAGUAUCUCAGUUUAUCCCAAGACCUUCACUCAAGUCCCCUGCAUUUCAUUAUAGGCCCACGCUGGGCUCCUCCUCCUUCACCUCGGACAUCUGCCCCUAACUGCAGUCAGUCGCACCUUCCAACUCUCCCCUUUGCUCCUGCCCCUUCCCCCUAGUCCAGGGCCUUAGCUGAGGCCCUUACUGACUAUCAAC
Molecule: long non-coding RNA, 328 nt
Filed under: Fukomys damarensis (Damara mole-rat)
Lineage: Eukaryota; Metazoa; Chordata; Mammalia; Rodentia; Bathyergidae
Description: lncRNA (ENSFDAG00000022106.1)
Source: RNAcentral